AAUAGAUACCCGGGUAGUCCUGGCCGUAAACGAUGACCACUCGAUGUAGGAGGUAUCGACCCCUUCUGCGUCGUAAGCUAACGCGAUAAGUGGUCCGCCUGGGGAGUACGGUCGCAAGAUUAAAACUCAAAGGAAUUGACGGGGACCCGCACAAGCAGCGGAGCGUGUGGUUUAAUUCGAUGCAACGCGAAGAACCUUACCAGGACUUGACAUGCUCUUGCACCGCCCGUCAUGGGGCGUGCCCGCAAGGGACGGGAGCACAGGUGCUGCAUGGCUGUCGUCAGCUCGUGUCGUGAGAUGUUGGGUUAAGUCCCGCAACGAGCGCAACCCCCAUGGCUAGUUGGAUUUGUCUAGCCAGACUGCCACUCUCAAAGUGGAGGAAGGUGGGGAUGACGUCAAGUCAGCACGGCCCUUACGUUCUGGGCGACACACACGCUACAAUGGCCGGGACAACGAGUCGCCAACCCGCGAGGGGAGCCAUCUCAGCAAACCCGGUCUCAGUUCAGAUUGUAGGCUGCAACCCG
This 524-nucleotide ribosomal RNA is filed under the name uncultured bacterium. RNAcentral describes it as "bacterial SSU rRNA". It matches the Rfam family "Bacterial small subunit ribosomal RNA", at positions 777 to 1314 of the family's 1533-position model. The record is from RNAcentral.